CGGAAGGUCCGGGCGUUAUCCGGAUUUAUUGGGUUUAAGGGAGCGCAGGCGGACCUUUAAGUCAGCUGUGAAAUACGGCGGCUCAACCGUCGAACUGCAGUUGAUACUGGAGGUCUUGAGUGCACACAGGGAUGCUGGAAUUCAUGGUGUAGCGGUGAAAUGCUCAGAUAUCAUGAAGAACUCCGAUCGCGAAGGCAGGCAUCCGGGGUGCAACUGACGCUGAGGCUCGAAAGUGCGGGUAUCAAACAGGAUU
This 253-nucleotide ribosomal RNA is filed under the name uncultured bacterium. RNAcentral's name for it is "partial 16S ribosomal RNA". It matches the Rfam family "Bacterial small subunit ribosomal RNA", at positions 526 to 779 of the family's 1533-position model. The record is from RNAcentral.